AUGCAGCAUCACAGAAAUUCAACCUUCUUCUCCAACUCAACACAGUCGUGGCUCCAUCGACUCCUUCCCGUUUGCUCAAGUCUCUGUCUCAUUUCUUAUUCUUCGCUCAAACUCAUUCGCGGCUCAAUAUCAUCUCUGAUUCGAUUUCGUGUGUUUCAUUCACUCCAAGAUCACCGUGACUCUGACGAACUCAACAUUCUCCGAUGA
This is a non-coding RNA of Vicia faba (fava bean), 207 nucleotides long. Lineage: Eukaryota; Viridiplantae; Streptophyta; Magnoliopsida; Fabales; Fabaceae. The record is from the annotation of a GenBank genome assembly.